This 1573-nucleotide unclassified non-coding RNA is filed under the name Hevea brasiliensis (rubber tree). The record is from RNAcentral. Lineage: Eukaryota; Viridiplantae; Streptophyta; Magnoliopsida; Malpighiales; Euphorbiaceae.
AAUGAAUAAAUCUGGACCGUUGAUUCAUGCAGAUUUUUCAUAUGUUAAAUAAUAAAAUCCAUAUAAAUUAAGGCCCAAAUAGCAUUUGAGGAUCAAGCCAUUGUAGCAGUGAGUGUCCUGCACUUCUGAUCGCAGAAGAAUGCUUGUACACAAAACAUUGAAUUCAAUUCAUUACAAUUUCUAUAGAUAUUGAAUUUACAAGCACCUCAGCUGAGAAUGCUUGCAUUAAAAAAGAAAUACUGCUUAGCAGAGAAUGCUGCACUGAUAAAUGAAAUAUAUGCUCUGUUUCUUGCAGGUAUGCAGACCCUACAAACCCUGACUCGUAUGAUACUGAAAAUCAAAAUGGGCUCAUCAUCUAAAACAGCUGAGCGAUUAUGAAUGGUUAAGUACCGCUCCAGAGUUUGCAUGGGAAGAAAACCAUGCACCAACUCUUUUGGGAGGUACCCUUAAGUUUCCUUUGAGUUGCAUACAGUUCAGUAGGCUCCUUCAACAACAUUAUAGACAUGAUACGUUCAGAAUGAGUCGCGUUGCAGUCGUACAGGAGCACUCAGGUGCCAGGAAAAGUGCUGCCUGUGCUCGAAAGGAUUAUGAAGGCACAAACAACGGAUAGUGAAAACACAGAUACCCAAGUAUUUUCAGUGUACAUUUCCAUUGCAUCUGUGAAGGAAAACCGAGCUCGGUUUUCAGCCCAGUUACGAAGUCGGUCCGCCUCAGCUGCAUAUAAUGCCCUUCCCUGCACAAUAAACAGGAAUAAAUUCUUGAAGAAAAGCAGCAUUAACUUACUAGCAGGAGAAAAUGACUCCAAGAUUUGUGCAUGACCAAAAAUCUUCACAGAGACAUACAAACACAAAGGCAUUUCUCUUUCAAGAAAAGAGGUGCUUCAAUCCAUGAAAACUCCAAUUUCAUAAUGAAUAAUCUUAAUAACUAGAACGUUAUGAAUUGGAAAUCCAACUUUUACCCCAAGUUCAGCUAGAGACAUAAGUAAGUUGAGGCUAUGGUGCUAAGUUGUUCAGUAGCUAAAUCUGCAGACCACACCAUUUUUCAGCGGGGUUUCGUAACUAGGGAUAAGAAGUUCAUUCUGAACUAUAGGUUGAAUUGUUUACCUCAUCAGUUUUGAUAGACAAGGAAUUAUUCAAGAGUCAAGUUGUCCAUUCAAUUAAUGUAAUUAGAGGUAAAGCAUUUUUCCUUGCCUACCUGGAAUACUGCUAACCACUUGCAGAUAUCUGUAAAUUCCUUUAGGAUAUCAAGAUUACCUGGGCAUCAAACCAGCGACCUCGCCGCAACCAUGCAGUGACCAAAGCAAGUAAUAUCCUAGGAGGGGUCAAGUAAUUGAUGGCCUUCCCUGAACCCUUCACAACCCGCAUCCGUGGAACUAAAGUUCUAGCAACUGUUUCUGGAAGCUCACAAAUGAUAUUAAACAUUUGUUUAUUUUUUAGAGUUGAUCCACUCAAUAGCAAAUCUGUAAGGACCAUGCCUGGAGAUGCUGUAUGUACUCCAACUUUAGAUCGCCUACACUCCUUCAGAAGUGAUGAUUGGAGUUGCCUAAGACCACAUUUUGUUGAUCCAUAAACAG